This 75-nucleotide transfer RNA is filed under the name Clytia hemisphaerica. RNAcentral's name for it is "tRNA-Gly for anticodon GCC". It matches the Rfam family "tRNA". Rfam says of the family: Transfer RNA (tRNA) molecules are approximately 80 nucleotides in length. Their secondary structure includes four short double-helical elements and three loops (D, anti-codon, and T loops). Lineage: Eukaryota; Metazoa; Cnidaria; Hydrozoa; Leptothecata; Clytiidae. The record is from RNAcentral.
GCAUUGGUGGGGGGUCAGUGGUAGAAUUCCUCGCCUGCCACGCGGGAGACCGGGGUUCGAUUCCCCGCCAAUGCA